AGAGUUUGAUCAUGGCUCAGAUUGAACGCUGGCGGCAGGCUUAACACAUGCAAGUCGAGCGGGGGAAGGUAGCUUGCUACUGGACCUAGCGGCGGACGGGUGAGUAAUGCUUAGGAAUCUGCCUAUUAGUGGGGGACAACAUCUCGAAAGGGAUGCUAAUACCGCAUACGUCCUACGGGAGAAAGCAGGGGAUCUUCGGACCUUGCGCUAAUAGAUGAGCCUAAGUCGGAUUAGCUAGUUGGUGGGGUAAAGGCCUACCAAGGCGACGAUCUGUAGCGGGUCUGAGAGGAUGAUCCGCCACACUGGGACUGAGACACGGCCCAGACUCCUACGGGAGGCAGCAGUGGGGAAUAUUGGACAAUGGGGGGAACCCUGAUCCAGCCAUGCCGCGUGUGUGAAGAAGGCCUUAUGGUUGUAAAGCACUUUAAGCGAGGAGGAGGCUACUUUAGUUAAUACCUAGAGAUAGUGGACGUUACUCGCAGAAUAAGCACCGGCUAACUCUGUGCCAGCAGCCGCGGUAAUACAGAGGGUGCGAGCGUUAAUCGGAUUUACUGGGCGUAAAGCGUGCGUAGGCGGCUUAUUAAGUCGGAUGUGAAAUCCCCGAGCUUAACUUGGGAAUUGCAUUCGAUACUGGUGAGCUAGAGUAUGGGAGAGGAUGGUAGAAUUCCAGGUGUAGCGGUGAAAUGCGUAGAGAUCUGGAGGAAUACCGAUGGCGAAGGCAGCCAUCUGGCCUAAUACUGACGCUGAGGUACGAAAGCAUGGGGAGCAAACAGGAUUAGAUACCCUGGUAGUCCAUGCCGUAAACGAUGUCUACUAGCCGUUGGGGCCUUUGAGGCUUUAGUGGCGCAGCUAACGCGAUAAGUAGACCGCCUGGGGAGUACGGUCGCAAGACUAAAACUCAAAUGAAUUGACGGGGGCCCGCACAAGCGGUGGAGCAUGUGGUUUAAUUCGAUGCAACGCGAAGAACCUUACCUGGCCUUGACAUACUAGAAACUUUCCAGAGAUGGAUUGGUGCCUUCGGGAAUCUAGAUACAGGUGCUGCAUGGCUGUCGUCAGCUCGUGUCGUGAGAUGUUGGGUUAAGUCCCGCAACGAGCGCAACCCUUUUCCUUACUUGCCAGCAUUUCGGAUGGGAACUUUAAGGAUACUGCCAGUGACAAACU
RNAcentral lists this ribosomal RNA (1161 nucleotides) under Acinetobacter baumannii 44467_3. RNAcentral's name for it is "bacterial SSU rRNA". It matches the Rfam family "Bacterial small subunit ribosomal RNA", at positions 8 to 1164 of the family's 1533-position model. Lineage: Bacteria; Pseudomonadati; Pseudomonadota; Gammaproteobacteria; Moraxellales; Moraxellaceae. The record is from RNAcentral.